This 1249-nucleotide long non-coding RNA is filed under the name Astyanax mexicanus (Mexican tetra). RNAcentral describes it as "lncRNA (ENSAMXG00005009747.1)". Lineage: Eukaryota; Metazoa; Chordata; Actinopteri; Characiformes; Acestrorhamphidae. The record is from RNAcentral.
AUGCGGAGACGCGCGCGCGCUCACCCCGUCCGCCGCCCCGAAUCGCUGCUCUACAGCUCAACCCGCAGCUUCCCGCAGCAAAGAAGUGGCUUCUUGUGCAGAGUUAGCUGGUGUGUAGGAUGGAAUCUUGGGCCCCCCAUUCAUCCCUAUGGGGGAAAAAGGUCUGCAAAUAUAGUACACUCUUAUUUUUCAGUUCCUCUCUUACUCAUUCGUUUCUCCCCUGGUCUUUCUUGCUUCUGUCACUUACUCUCUCGCUCAGUCCCACCUCAGUAUCUCUCUCUCUCUCUAACCCUAAUUCCCCUCUCUGUUCUUUUGUCUCCCUCUCUCUAGCAGUCUUUCAUUCUCCUUCUGUCACUUACUCUCUCGCUCAGUCCCACCUCAGUAUCUCUCUCUCUCUCUAACCCUAAUUCCCCUCUCUGUUCUUUUGUCUCCCUCUCUCUAGCAGUCUUUCAUUCUCCUUCUGUCACUUACUCUCUCUCACUGUCCCUCACUCCCCCCCUCUCUCUGUCUCUGACUCACUUGCUCCUUUUUCCACUUUGCCUUGGAUUCCCCUCCUUGCUUUCUGUGUUUUUCUCCCUCUGACUCUCUCUCACACGCAUUCACUCUCUCUCUCUUUCAUCCCCACUCUGACGAUCCCACCCUCUCUCUCUCUCUCUCUCUCUCUCUCUCUCUGUGCUGUAGCUCACACAGUGGUUCAUUGAUUCAACCUAAAAACAUCUCUUCAUGUGGAAACAAGCAGUUUAACUGGGUUUAUUCAUCUCGAACCAGUUGGGUUCUGGCAGGGAGUCAGAAUUCUGCACAACACUGGUGCUGGCCGAUGAAGACAUGUUUAUAUGUUUAUGUCGUAUGCACAUAAAUCUGAUAUCCUGUCUAGAACCAUGUAUUAAAGGCUGUGUUUUAACUGCCAGCCAAAUUCCAACUUUGAUCUAGAUUGCAUCAAGAUUUAUUUACUUUUGUGUGGACAGCAAAAUCCAACAAAUCCAAGACAAAACUGUGGAAAAACUGGGAUGGGCUGGAAGAUCAGGGGCCCUAUUUUAACUUUUUAUAAGCGAGCCAUCAACCAUGCACUGAGCAGGUUGAUUUAGGGCGUGUCAGUGUGUCUUUGCUAUCAUAAAGACGGGAAAAGUACACCUUGAAAUGCACAAAAGGCAUUAAUUAAUUAUGAAUGUGUUUUAGGCUUAACGUGAAAUUAAUUAAUCACUGUGACACUUGCCAAAUCUGAAAAAAAUCUUGUAUUUUUAAAAAUAUC